Non-coding RNA from Orientia tsutsugamushi str. Sido, 245 nucleotides. The record is from Rfam. Lineage: Bacteria; Pseudomonadati; Pseudomonadota; Alphaproteobacteria; Rickettsiales; Rickettsiaceae.
AAAGUCCAGUUAUGGAAGGAGAAGCUAGCUCCACCAUAUAGCAAGUUUUGUGCUGCUGAAGAUAACAACAGUAGUAAAGCAUAGACAGUGAAACAUUCGAACCGAAACUAAAUGGUAAAAACGUGAUAGCUCAGAAAGUGUGAUAUAGUGGAGGCCGAUAUGUUCUACUACAUAGUAGGCAAAAGAAGAUUGUAGAUCAAAUUAGUGAAAAUCCAAAAAUUUUCAACAACUUGUGUCACAGGUAU